This 7194-nucleotide long non-coding RNA is filed under the name Sus scrofa (pig). RNAcentral describes it as "lncRNA (ENSSSCG00000063317.1)". Lineage: Eukaryota; Metazoa; Chordata; Mammalia; Artiodactyla; Suidae. The record is from RNAcentral.
ACUUCCAGAGCCAUAAAGGGAGUCAUUUGGUGAAUCCAGGAGCACAAGGCAGACAUGAUGACCCCAGAGCACCAGCUAGAAGACUGCAAUGUAUUUAUUCAGACCCAUGGUCCUUUGGAAAGGUGUAGAAUGCUGGAUCCCUGACAACCAAUCACAAAGUUGAGUCUUAAAUGCGAUUUUCAAAAGUAUGAAAGGAACAUUAAGAUAGUUCUAAGCUUGCACCAGAACAUAAUUUAAAUUUUUGGUGGCGUAAUGACAAGAAUCUUUCCUACAAUGAUGACAGCUGAACUAAAAGUUUCUCAAUAAUCAAAACAUAGCAGUAAACCUGAAGCCAAAGUUGGCCUCUUUUUCCCCUUGUGGUGAGAUUUAAAUGGAAUUUUUACUUUGAACUAAAACUAGAUCAUUAAGACCAUUGGAACUCUGUGACUUAGAAUGUUUGGUGUUUACUGGGAAUUCAAAACAAGAUUUUUGUUCUAUAAACUUUAUAGAUAAAUGGAUUGUUUUCCUUAUAACGUCUACUGUUAAUUAAUGGCACUGACACAAUUAAUGGCAUCAAGAAAACAUAAUUAUGUAUCUUAUAAUGAUGCAAUUACAUAAUUGUUUUAAUAGGUUAAGUGAUCUGCCUAAUUUUUAUCUGUUUUUUUUUUUUUAGCAGCUUUAUCUUGAUGUCUCCUUUGUGAGACACUUUUUAGUGCUUUAAAAUUUUUGAGGUAUACUUUUGUUAAAUUAAUUUGCUAAUGAAAAAAGUGUGUUUUUUCCACUAACUGGAGAUUUUCCUAAAGGUCAUAAAAAGAUAGAAGAUGUACUCUUAUGAUAGCUGUUGUUAAAUUAAAUGUGUUGAUGAGUUUUGAAUUUGACUGUAAAUGUCCAUGCUAAUGAAGUGCUCAGAAAACAAUAGGAGGCAUUUGCUGAAUCUAUUUUUAAGGAAGUCUCCAUUAGUAUAACUGAUUCUUCUAAAUCUCCUAAAAGAAGAUAUUUCAUUGAAAUAUGAUCUGGGCUCACACUUUAAGAUCUGCAAUAAUUUAUUAUGCUCUUAGAAUCUAGACUUGAUCUGUCGUUGUGACAGAUAUUUAUUUACCAUUAAAGUAGGAAUCCUCAUUUGCUGACACAUUUUGAUUUUUCUUCAAGUGGUCCUGAUAGAUGUGAUAAGAAAAAAAAAUCAACCUAAUUUCAUAACGAUGCUCAUAUUUAUUUUCCCCACACAGAGGCAGCAAAGCAGCAUUGUUCCAUGCAGCGUAUCUAGCUUUCCCCCACCCCGAUGCUGGUUUUUUGUUUUUUGUUUUUUUCAGUUUGUGCCUCAUUGGUAAAAAUAGGAAUGUAUCCUCAUUUAAAACACACUCAAGAAUAGUCUUUAAAGCAGCUCCAUUUGAGUAGGUCAGUGCUCUUGAAGGAUUGCUUUCACCCAAAUGCAGUGUCGGUUUGGCAUCUUUGUACCAUAGAAUAAUCGACUUAAUGCACUUUUUAGUGUUGUUAUUCCCCUGUAAGUUCUCCACCUUUAUUUUCUGUUUUUUCUGCAAAUUAACUGUCCAGCCCAAGGUCAGAGCCAGAUUUGGAGCUUUGAAUCUGACAGCCACAAGGAUGCUUUAUUCCUUGAGCCAUGUCAGGCUUCUUCUUAGUAAAGGAAUCAGUCUAAGGCUCAGCUUUCCCUCUUCAAGAUUAAGGCACUUGGGCUCUUGGAGGCAGAAAGUCACACUCCUUGGAAGGGGGUGGGGCAAGGGUAAAAUGGGUAGAGGGGUUGAACUGUAGGGUGACAGAUCGAAAAUGGAAAAACUUUCGGUGGUGAGCCUGCUGUGGUUUAUACAGAAGUCAAAAUAUAAUGUUAUAGCCAUGAAGUCUAUAUAAUGUUGUGAGUCAGGGUUACCUCAAAAAAUAUUCAUCCUUAUUACUGUUUCAUGAUAGUCUAACAGUACAGACUGAUAGCAUCUUUGUGAGGGUAAUCUACUGAUAUCAGGCUCUUGUAUAAAGCCAGGCAUGGGAUUUUGAGUGGUUCCCUCUGUCGUUAUAAGGAGACUGGAAAGUCACAAAUGGCCUUUGCAUGUGUGAAAAGAACAUACGAGUUUAGUGAUUUCUCUGAGUACUUUCUCUGUCCAGUGUCAGGGUCUCUUUUCACCCCACCUGGAUUCCUAAACACUCGCAGUCUAUGUUAGCCCACAUUUCAGUGCAGUCCCAUCUGAUACCAUCAUUGACUGAGGGCAUUAGUCUUGUCUCCUUCAGUGGAUAUUGACCUGUUUGUGGGGAGCAAGUCAUAUUGUUAGUAACACACAAUGGCUGAUUUAACAGUGUCUGCAGAUACUUCUCUUAAGGAUUUGGUGCAUAAUCAUAGACAUAUUCUUUCUUGUCCAGCGAUACCUACUCUGUGAUUUAUGGAGCAUCACGACUUGGUGUUUUUAAGAGCUUAGGUUCUAGAAUCAGACUGCACUGGUUCUUCUAAUUGCUACUGUGGGAUCUCAGACAAAUUCCUUAACCUCUUUGGACCUCAGUUUCCUCAUCUGUAUAUGAGAAUAACAAUGGCUACUACCUCAUAGGAUUGUUAGAAGCUUUAGAUAAGUUAACAUAUGUGAAACCCAGAAAUCAGUGCCUGGAGCAGAGAAAGGAUUCACUGUUGCUAUUUUAAGAAAUAUCUAGACCUCUAGGGUCUUGACAUUUAGGUUGGUCAUAAUUUGUAUGUUCAGGAAACCUGAUGAUUUUAAACACAGGUGGCCUGGGAUCUCUGAGCAAUUUUGGGUCAUAAUGGAGUGAUAUGGCUCUGAAAAGUAUCCAAUUGUUCAGACGAAUGUAUAUGAGAAAUGGAACUAUGACUACAUUAGCUCAUAUGAAAUGGAACUCAACUAUGACUACAGUCCUUUAGAAGAUUUUGGUUCAAGGUUAAGGUGAAAUAAAUGGAUUGACUCAGAAGUCAUGGCAACAGGUUGGCACUAUAUGCUUGAAGUUCUGUUAUCUCAGCAAGAAAUAAUUAAAGAAAAUUCAUGAGAGGAUCCCAAAGCUCAACAAAAUCUUGAAUUAAAAAUCUCUUUCAGCAAAGUCCUUUAAAGCUGUAAUAGGUUCCUUAGUUGAAAGUCAACUCCAGUCAGCUCCAGCUUUGAUUAAAUAACCAUGUGGUUCUCAACCACAAAUGGCAUUGGAGAAUGUGGUGGCUUGUCUCCAAAGAUGGCCCCAGGGAAGUUUGCUUUCCAUUGCUCAUUCUUUUUUGGUCUUUUCCUCAGAACUCUAGAAUGGCUAUGAGACUUGCUUUGACCUGUAGAAUGGAGUAGAUGUGAGGUGCCAUGAGUCUAGGUCAUAAGAAGGCUCACAGUUUUCUCCUGUCCUUUGGAAAUGCCAGCUCUAAAGGAAGCCAGUCACCAGAUAGGAAUGCCAGAUGUUCAGAGGCAGCUAUGCCAUGAAGUGGUGCACCGAGAGAGUGGGAGUUGUUCACCUAGGCUGGAGAAAAAAGGGGGUGCAUUAUCUGUAGAGAAUUUGUAAGCAACGAAAAGUCUGUCUGCUGUUUUUUAUUACCAUGCACAGGCAUUUUUAAACAAUGUCAGUGAUAAAAUAUUCCUUCCUGUGGGUGGACCACUCCCACUUCCUCUCUUACCCAUCCUACCCUGCUAUAUGCCAGUGCUAUGAAGCCCAAGCUAGCCAUAUGGAAAGAGAGAGGUCUGGCCAGCUCCCAGCUCUUCAGCUAUCCCAGCACAUGAGAGAAGAAGCCCUCAUGGAUGUCCAGCCCAGUCGGGCUUUCAGAAGACUCCACCCCCUGCUGUCAUCUGAUUGAAACUGCAUGAAAGAUCAAAAGCCACAACCAUCCAGCUGAGCCUAGUCAAACCACAGAACUCUAAUAAGAGAUAACAUAAGAAGUUGUUUCAGGCUACUAAGUUUUGGGUUGGUUUUUUAUUCAGCAAUUGAUGAGCAGAACAGAGAAGAAACAUGUAAGAGGGAAAAAGCCUCUUGGAGAGGCUCUUUUUUCUUCUUUCUCCGUUUAAGGAUAAAAUAGCAUCUGAAUAUACUUUGCUGUGUAGCAUAUUGAGAGAUUGGCAUAACAUGAUAUUAACAGGCCAAAAAUACCAAUUUCACCACUAGAUGGAAAUUAUAUCUAUGUAGAUGUUGCUAAGCAACAACAGAUCAAAAUCUAUAAAGGAGUGACCGUAGAAUGCAAAGCAUUUGGUCAGCCUACUAAGUUCCUGCUGCAUUUUUUUUUUUUUGUCUUUUUAGGGCUGCACGUGUGGCAAAUGGAAGUUCCCAGGCUAGGGAUCAAAUAGGAGCUGUAGCCAUAGCAAUGCUAGAUCCGAUCCAUGUCUGUGACCUACACCACAGCUCGUGGCAACGCUGGAUCCUUAACCCACUGAGCGUCCUCAUGGAUACUAGUCAGACUCCUUACUGCUGAGCCACACUUCUUUUUAAAAACAUAGUUACAGGAAGAACUGAUGUCCCUGGUAUGUGUGUGUAUGUGUUGGGGGAGGGGGGAACAUAGGGACUUAAAGUGGACAGUGCAUACCUCAUUAUUAUUUGCCUGAAAUAAUGAGCAGGGAAAAAAAGGCCAAUACAUGACCUGAAAAAUGGGCAUUGUUCGUAAUUUAAAAAUAUGAUAAUCUUUAAGAAUAAAUACUGGCAACACUUGGAACUUUGUAAGGGUUAAAAUCUUUUCCCUUGAAAUACUUCAAAACUUUAUAUAGCUGUGAAAACACGGAGAUUAAUAUGCGAUAAUGCCUUUCUGAGAUUUACAGGAAUUAUUAUUUGGUGAUGAGCAGAUUCAGUGUAUUUUUGGGGAGAGACAGUCAAUAGGUCAGUGGGGGCUACAAACUUUUCCUCUAGUCAGAGAGGCAGGCUGAGAAAGGGGGUCUAACUGAGGGCUUUGGGAAUAGCCUACUAGCAGGUGCCAGGAAAACAUUCAUAGAAUGAAGUCUCUGCCCCUUAACUGUUCUUUACCAGCAGUCAUUUUCAUUAUUUCCUCUGGGUGACCUUUCAUCCCUCCAUUUUUUCCUGAUAAUUAGUUUUUUAAAUGAAAGAGGUAGGAGAAAAAAAGGAAAGCUCAAUAGAAGACAAAUAGGAACUGAAUGUAUGUAUUUUGAAUAUUUUUUAGCAAAAUAGAUUGAAAAUACAUAUAGGUGGACCCCUAACACACACCUUAUUGGGACACCCCCCCAAAUAUCCAAAGUCUCUCCUGAGACGUGGGCAGUAGGCACAAAACCAUUCUCUGUGAGUAAGAACCCUGCUCUCUGCCUGCCAGCGUUGCUGUGGGUCAUGCUCUCUGUCGAGCACGGCUAGAGCAGACCCACCAAAUCCCAUGUAAGUGGUCAGAGCACAAAUGAGGCUGCCGGUGGGUAGUCCUACCCUAUUCAUGAGCUCUUUCAGAACAAUUUUCAUUACUUUUUUUAAAUACUGUUUUUGGCAAACACUUGAUACUUGAAAUAAAAAAUGCAUGAGUCACCUACUGGGAUAGGCACAGUGUGUGGUUCAUUGAAUUUAGCUAAAUUGUGAGUCAUCCAUCAAUAGUCCUCUUGGUGAACAUACUUGUAAUAAUUUCACACGUUGCAAACAAAAAUAGGUAUGAUUUUCAAGAUUCUUGACGCUAUUCCCGUUGGGGACUUUUGGGAUUGUGCUGUGUGCUGUGUGUGUGUGUGUGUGUGUGUGUGUGUGUGUGUGUGUGUGUGUGUGUUGCUAGGUGGCGAGAAAAUCGUCAGCCUGGUUUUCAGACGGAUCCAAGGCGCAUCUCUGUCCUGGUGUAAAAGAACUUUGAUUUGGGAGGCUUGGGGGCAGAAAAUGGAGCUGGAGUCAUGAGUUAGAGGACAUAAGAAGAAUUAAUGAAUAAUAUUUGUCCUUGUCAGAUCAUUGGCUUUUAAGAUGAAUUUCGGCAUCUGGAAAAUGACUGGUUCCAGAAGAACAGUUUCAGAGCUACAAGAAUAUAUUCACGUGCCACUUUUUUUCCUGAUAGGGGAGAGCAGAGCAGAGUGGUUAUGCGUGUCUGUGCACUACUGCCCUCUAUCGGAUGGCGCUAGCGUUUCAGGUUGUGCCCAAAUUGAAUGAGUGCUCUGGCUCGGUGGCAGGUAACCCAGGCAAUUAAGUAGUAUGGGUCUAAGACUUUUUUUUUUUUUUUUUUUUUUUUUUUUUUAAAUAGCUGGCCUGUGUAAGCCAAAAGAGAUCUCCCUAUGUCCAGAGCAGGAAGAGUUUAGGUUUUCUGCCCUAAAUGUCCAUGCUUCCAUUCCAGUGUCUGGUAUCUGCUGUUGAAUGGCAUGACAGAUAUUGUGAUUAUCUGUCACAAUUGCUAAAUCCUUGUCUUUUCAAGAAGUGAAAACAAUUAAAAGAGAAAGUGUCCCUACCUGUUAUUCUUUUCCUUUUUUGAUAAGUGCAGUAAAACCAUUAAAAGGGCUUCUGCUCUUGGCUAUGACUGUAUGUGGAAGUUUUUAUAAAAAGUGAUAAGUGGAUGUAAGAUGAGAAGUGAUGGUCCUUCGCAAAUGAUGCUUCAAGUGCCAAUAUCAGUAAGAUGUAUAUGGGAGUCCCAGAAAACUGGUGGGAAGUUUGCUUUGUUUUGGUGCAUAUCUCUGCCCUCCUUCAUCUUCCCCAAGGUAGCAGGACUAAGUGCCCAGGCUGGAGCUGGGCGGGGUGUGGGGGAGGUGGUGGUGUCAAGUCCCACCCCUACUGGCUGAGUACCUUGGGCCAGUUGUGUGGCUUCCGAGACCUCACUUUUCUCAUGUGUAAAAUGAGGUAUUUGUAAGAGCUGAUUUCUUAGGGUCAUUUCAUUUCUGAGAUCUUUUCUCCUUAGAUGAUCAUAUAAGCAGAAAGAAUAAUUUAACUAUUCUCAUAUCAUACACGCACAUACAUAAAUGAUUUUCUUUUGAAAAGCCAAUGUGUUCAUGAUGAUAAUUUAACACCAGGAUAUGUGGUGGUGGAAAGAGCUUUGGCCUCGUGGAUGCUCUAAUGGGCUCAUGUAUCAGGGACAUUGGACAGAACAAGAAGCAUCCUUGCCCAUUGGCCCAGUUGGAAUCUCUAGGGCCAGCAGAUGGCGCACUUGCACAGUCCACACAUUUUCCGGGCUUCCAAGGUAAAUGGCACUGAUUAGCAUCCAGAAAUAACAGCUAAUGUUUGAACAAAUUGCAGUAUUUUCCAGGCUACUAAAACGAUGGCACUGUGUGAGCUGGAACAUUUGACAAUGUUUAAAAUCGUUAGGAAGGCUGUUAAACUGUUUAACACUUUCCAGUGCCUACAGCAUACAGCAUCUUUCAC